This 495-nucleotide ribosomal RNA is filed under the name uncultured bacterium. RNAcentral's name for it is "partial 16S ribosomal RNA". It matches the Rfam family "Bacterial small subunit ribosomal RNA", at positions 28 to 507 of the family's 1533-position model. The record is from RNAcentral.
GACGAACGCUGGCGGCGUGCCUAAUACAUGCAAGUAGAACACUGAAGGAGGAGCUUGCUCUUCUGGAUGAGUUGCGAACGGGUGAGUAACGCGUAGGUAACCUGCCUGGUAGCGGGGGAUAACUAUUGGAAACGAUAGCUAAUACCGCAUAACAGUAGAUGUUGCAUGACAUUUACUUAAAAGGUGCAAUUGCAUCACUACCAGAUGGACCUGCGUUGUAUUAGCUAGUUGGUGGGGUAACGGCUCACCAAGGCGACGAUACAUAGCCGACCUGAGAGGGUGAUCGGCCACACUGGGACUGAGACACGGCCCAGACUCCUACGGGAGGCAGCAGUAGGGAAUCUUCGGCAAUGGACGGAAGUCUGACCGAGCAACGCCGCGUGAGUGAAGAAGGUUUUCGGAUCGUAAAGCUCUGUUGUAAGAGAAGAACGAGUGUGAGAGUGGAAAGUUCACACUGUGACGGUAUCUUACCAGAAAGGGACGGCUAACUACGUG